AGAGUAUGGGAGGGGGAGAUGGAAUUAGUGGUGUAGGGGUAAAAUCCGUAGAUAUCACUAGGAAUACCCAAAGCGAAGGCGAUCUCCUGGAACAAUACUGACGCUAAGGCGUGAAAGCGUGGGGAGCAAACGGGAUUAGAUACCCCGGUAGUCCACGCCCUAAACGAUGUUCACUAGUCGUCGGAAUGCUUGUCAUUUCGGUGAUGCACUUAACAGGUUAAGUGAACCGCCUGGGGAGUACGGUCGCAAGAUUAAAACUCAAAGGAAUAGACGGGGACCCGCACAAGUGGUGGAGCAUGUGGUUUAAUUCGAAGAUACGCGAAGAACCUUACCUAGCCUUGACAUUGAAGAAACACACUAGAGAUAGAGUGGUGCCCUUCGGGGAAUCUGAAAACAGGUGCUGCACGGCUGUCGUCAGCUCGUGUCGUGAGAUG
This 434-nucleotide ribosomal RNA is filed under the name uncultured bacterium. Its description in RNAcentral is "bacterial SSU rRNA". It matches the Rfam family "Bacterial small subunit ribosomal RNA", at positions 643 to 1074 of the family's 1533-position model. The record is from RNAcentral.